Molecule: ribosomal RNA, 478 nt
Filed under: uncultured bacterium
Lineage: Bacteria
Description: partial 16S ribosomal RNA
Rfam family: Bacterial small subunit ribosomal RNA
Source: RNAcentral
GACGAACGCUGGCGGCGUGCUUAACACAUGCAAGUCGAACGGUAAGGCCCUUCGGGGUACACGAGUGGCGAACGGGUGAGUAACACGUGGGUGAUCUGCCCUGCACUUCGGGAUAAGCCUGGGAAACUGGGUCUAAUACCGGAUAGGACCCUGGGAUGCAUGUCCUGGGGUGGAAAGCUUUUGCGGUGUGGGAUGGGCCCGCGGCCUAUCAGCUUGUUGGUGGGGUGAUGGCCUACCAAGGCGACGACGGGUAGCCGGCCUGAGAGGGUGACCGGCCACGCUGGGACUGAGAUACGGCCCAGACUCCGACGGGAGGCAGCAGUGGGGAAUAUUGCACAAUGGGCGCAAGCCUGAUGCAGCGACGCCGCGUGAGGGAUGACGGCCUUCGGGUUGUAAACCUCUUUCAGCACCGGCGAAGCGCAAGUGACGGUAGGUGCAGAAGAAGGACCGGCCAACUACGUGCCAGCCGCCGCAGUAA